RNAcentral lists this ribosomal RNA (497 nucleotides) under uncultured bacterium. RNAcentral describes it as "partial 16S ribosomal RNA". It matches the Rfam family "Bacterial small subunit ribosomal RNA", at positions 28 to 507 of the family's 1533-position model. The record is from RNAcentral.
GAUGAACGCUGGCGGUGUGCCUAAUACAUGCAAGUCGAGCGAACAGACGAGGAGCUUGCUCCUCUGACGUUAGCGGCGGACGGGCGAGUAACACGUGGAUAACCUACUUAUAAGACUGGGAUAACUUCGGGAAACAGGAGCUACUACCGGAUCAUAUAUUCAACCGCAUGGUUCAAUAGUGAAAGACGGCUUUGCUGUCACUUAUAGACGGAUCCGCGCCGCAUUAGCUAGUUGGUAAGGUAACGGCUUACCAAGGCGACGAUGCGUAGCCGACCUGAGAGGAUGAUCAGCCACACUGGAACUGAGACACGGUCCAGACUCCUACGGGAGGCAGCAGUAGGGAAUCUUGCGCAAUGGGCGAAAGCCUGACGGAGCAACACCGCGUGAGUGAUGAAGGUCUUCGGGUCGUAAAACUCUGUUAUUAGGGAAGAACAAAUGUAUAAGUAACUAUGCACGUCUUGACGGUACCUAAUCAGAAAGCCACGGCUAACUACGUG